CUUUCUCUCUUUUCUGCUCUGCUCCAUGUGUCCAUCUCAUGCCGAUAUGCUGCCCGAUUUAUUACAAGGUCCAAUUUUUUUUUUUUGUUAAAUACUUAAAUUUCUUAAAAAUUUAGUGUGAUGUAAUUUUAUUAUUAAAUGGGUAUUAUGUGAUAUGUUAAUUAAAUCGGUAUUGUGAUUGUGAUUAUGUGACAUAUUUUUAUUAUG
RNAcentral lists this unclassified non-coding RNA (207 nucleotides) under Hevea brasiliensis (rubber tree). Lineage: Eukaryota; Viridiplantae; Streptophyta; Magnoliopsida; Malpighiales; Euphorbiaceae. The record is from RNAcentral.